This 2199-nucleotide long non-coding RNA is filed under the name Helianthus annuus (common sunflower). RNAcentral describes it as "hypothetical non coding rna". The record is from RNAcentral. Lineage: Eukaryota; Viridiplantae; Streptophyta; Magnoliopsida; Asterales; Asteraceae.
UGGCAAUAUUGUAAUUUUUAACCGAGGGAAAAUUGUAUUUUUUGACUGAGGUAAAAUCGUAAUUUGACAAAAGUUAAAGUAAUGACAGUACUGUAAAUUUGAACCUGGGGCAAAAUUGUAAAUUUUCACAGGGGCAAAUUCGUAAUUUUUAACUUGGGGUAACAACGUAAUAUAAAUUUGAACUAAGGGCACAAUCAUAAUUUUAAGCUCGAGGCAAAAGCACAAUUUUAUUUUGAACCGAGGGAAAAAUCGUAAUUUUGAGCUGGGGGCAAAAACAUAAUUUUAUUUUGGACUGGGAAAAAAACGUAAUUUUGAAUUGAGGGCGAAAUCACAAUUUUUAAACGGGGAAAAAUCACAUUUUUGAACAGAGGGCAAAAGCGUAAUUUUUAAGUGGGGACAAAAACAAAAUUUUAUUUUGAACUGGGGGCGAAAAGGUAAUUCUGAGCUGAAGGCAAAACCACAAUUUUAUUUUGAAUGGAGGGAAAAAUCGUAAUUUUUAGUUGCGUAAUUUUAUUUUGAGCUGGGGGGCAAAACCGUAAUUUUAUUUAAUGGAUAUAAAAUAAUAAACUGGUUGGUCCAAUGGGUGAGUGCCAGACAAAGUCUUAAUUUUGAAUUGAGGGCAAGAUCGUAAUUUUGAGAUGAGGACAAAAAGCGUAUUUGUAUUUUGAGCUGGGGGCAAAAACGUAAUUUUAUUUUGAGCUGGGACAAAAACGUAAUUUUAAAAUGGAUAUAAAACAUUAAACGUGUUGGUCCAAUGAAGGAGUACCAGGCAGCUGUCUGAUACUAUUCCCCCAUUUAGGUUUUGUAUAUGUAGGAAAUACAUAUGGGUUGUUUUAUAUUUGUAAUGGUUGAUAUGUUGUAAGGUUGUUUGAGCUUCCAAUUUUUGAAAAUCAUUUUAAAGCUGAAAUAUAAUUUUAAUGUUUAAUUAAUAAACUAGAUGUAACAUCCGUCGUGUUGCGGCCGGGUUGACAUCCAUAUAUCAUAGAAGUUCGGUAUCCGGUUGAUUCGUUACAACAUCGAUACUCGUCAGAGUCACUGAAAGAGAACCCUAAAUAUAACACCAAAACAUCCAUAAAGAAGUCAUCACCUAAAAAGUAUACAACAAAAUAAAACGCACACCGUCACUCCCAAGAAAUGUUUUGUAGACACGAUCUGUUUGUAACCUAGAGGAACAAAGAGACUUAAUGUCCUCAAUUACAUUUUGAGUAUAAACCUAUUUCCCUUUGAAAUCUUUUUUGUUCCUUUUGAGCCAAAGCACCCGUAUUAAAGUUAAGAAUAUUGCUGAGAUUACCUUCCUUUUAGCCUUAAGACACACAUCCUCUAUCCCCUGUUUUGAUUAGACCUUGAAUAUGAUGUUUUAAUCUGAGAUGAUGUAGUAUGCACCAAUUUGUUACUAAAGCCGCAGUGAAUUUCGCUAGAUGGCAGCCAACAAAAAUGUGUUCUAUUCGUCUUUUCACGAGCUACACCAUAUGCAGUAGUCUAACCGUCUUCUAAAUUGCUCGAGCCUCUCUUUUUUAGCGAUGCCUUUGUUGGUAUUCUGUCAUGAAUGACCCUUCAUAUUAGAUAGUUAACUUUUAUAGGAAUCUAAUCCUAUUAUACAAUCCACCUCCACUUAAUCGGUUGCCCUUGAAUGGUGACCUAGAACCAAUUAUUGCAUGAUCUCUUUAAAUAAAUUAAAAGACUUGCAAACUAAAAGUGUACUACAACAUUUUAUUAUUAUCAUUGAAGUUUCAAAAAUUUUAAUAAAAACUACAUCAUCUAAACUAUAUGUUUCAUGAUUUAGUCAUUGGUCUACAAUAGAAUGUAAUUAUUGUAGCCAGAUUAUAACUCACACUAAUGAAACACAUUUAAAAUUAUAUUUCUUUCUUCUAUAUUAAAAAUCUGUAUAUUUUUUACAGAUAAUAAUAGAUGGCCCAUAAACAGUUCGAAUACCAUAUUUGUAAAUGCAUAUUGCAUAUUUCAUUAAUAAAUAGAAAUACCAACAGCACAGGUAAAUGAUCAACCCAAACAUGGACUCUUUAGUAAACGGGUCAGCCCGUCGCGAAACGCGGGGUUAAUGCGGAAAAAUCGCUACCUACUUGGGUCCACUAUCGGCUGGUGGUAAUUGGUUAACUCUGUUCCAUAAUGUCUUUUUCCCUCUUGAGAACAUAACAUACCUCAAUAGCAACCAAACACACUACUUAGGUUCACCCUGCUCAA